AAAGCGUGCGCAGGCGGUUUUGUAAGACUGUCGUGAAAUCCCCGGGCUCAACCUGGGAACUGCAUUUGUGACUGCAUGGCUAGAGUACGGUAGAGGGGGAUGGAAUUCCGCGUGUAGCAGUGAAAUGCGUAGAUAUGCGGAGGAACACCGAUGGCGAAGGCAAUCCCCUGGACCUGUACUGACGCUCAUGCACGAAAGCGUGGGGAGCAAACAGGAUUAGAUACCCUUGU
This 230-nucleotide ribosomal RNA is filed under the name uncultured bacterium. RNAcentral's name for it is "partial 16S ribosomal RNA". It matches the Rfam family "Bacterial small subunit ribosomal RNA", at positions 562 to 791 of the family's 1533-position model. The record is from RNAcentral.